GCACUAGUAGCUCAAUCCCAGAGCAUCG
RNAcentral lists this transfer RNA (28 nucleotides) under Cnesterodon septentrionalis. Its description in RNAcentral is "partial tRNA-Thr". The record is from RNAcentral. Lineage: Eukaryota; Metazoa; Chordata; Actinopteri; Cyprinodontiformes; Poeciliidae.